RNAcentral lists this ribosomal RNA (255 nucleotides) under uncultured bacterium. RNAcentral describes it as "partial 16S ribosomal RNA". It matches the Rfam family "Bacterial small subunit ribosomal RNA", at positions 524 to 777 of the family's 1533-position model. The record is from RNAcentral.
UACGGGGGGGGGCAAGCGUUGUUCGGAAUUACUGGGCGUAAAGGGCUCGUAGGCGGCCAACUAAGUCAGACGUGAAAUCCCUCGGCUUAACCGGGGAACUGCGUCUGAUACUGGAUGGCUUGAGAUUGGGAGAGGGAUGCGGAAUUCCAGGUGUAGCGGUGAAAUGCGUAGAUAUCUGGAGGAACACCGGUGGCGAAAGCGGCGCGCUGGAUCCCUACUGACGCUGAGAGACGAAAGCGUGGGGAGCAAACAGGG